AUUUUUACCACAGCCAACUCACCACAAUUGCAAAUGGGGAUUAUCCCUACCCCCAUUGAACCCCCACCAAGUGUCAAAUUAGAACUUCGGUUGCCGGAGCUAUUGCAAAAAGAAGAAGAACAUUGUGAACGAGACAUGGCUCAUCAACUAUGAAGAUUGGGAGCUAUUGCAAAAAGAAGAAGAACCCUAAACCUAAUUUCACUCUCUGCUCAUAAAUUGGGGUACCCUAGAAUCCCUAAAUUAUUUUUCANAAAUGCAAUCCCUAAUUCUAAUUAUUUUUCAAAUUAGAAUUUCAAAAUCACUAAACGGACUCCACAUGGGCUGACAAAUGCCACAUCACCACACUGUUUGGCACUGUUGGAACUGUUUGGCACUGUUGGAAGGUCUUUCGUUACCAAUUUAAACGCCGUCUGU
This 414-nucleotide long non-coding RNA is filed under the name Vigna radiata. RNAcentral's name for it is "long non-coding RNA (VRAD_LNC005382)". Lineage: Eukaryota; Viridiplantae; Streptophyta; Magnoliopsida; Fabales; Fabaceae. The record is from RNAcentral.